Myodes glareolus (Bank vole) is the source of this 1119-nucleotide non-coding RNA. The record is from RefSeq and is a predicted model, not a curated record. Lineage: Eukaryota; Metazoa; Chordata; Mammalia; Rodentia; Cricetidae.
ACCAUCUCCGUCGCUUUCGUGCAAUCACCACUGGCUGACUCGACAUAGAUAAGCGUUGAGGGUUUUCUCUGUCAUCUAGAAACUCCUUUCUGGUCACGUGCCAGGUGGACCUCUGUGCUGGCUAGUUUUCCAUCAACUUGACACAAACCGGAGUCUUCUGAGAGAAGCUUGCUUUUAGUCUUGGUGCUUCACCACAGCCACAGGAACCCUAAGACACCCGGUGGAGCAAUUCCCUGCCAGCUUUACUGUGGGCUCCUUAAAGAUGGAACCUGAGAUCCAGAUGCUCCAGCUACAAGGUGGUGGUGGCGCACGCCUUUAAUCCCAGCGCUUGGGAGGCAGAGUCAAGAGGAUCUCUGUGAGUUCGAGGCCAGCCUGGUCUACAAGAGCCAGCUCCAAGACAGGCUCCAAAGCUACAGAGAAACCCUGUCUCGAAAAAAAAAAAUGUUGCUGCUUGUACUGGUAAAGUCAGUGACACGCACAGUCUUCCUUUCUAAACAACGGAAUGGAGCAAUAGUCUCUGGAGUUGAAGAUUUAGUCACAGAGAUGAGAAAUUAUUUGAACUAAGAGAUGUAAACACAGGCUGGACACAAGAUUAUAAAGACUGGCACCUUUUUUUUGUAACUAUUAGACUUCCUUCUGUAGGUGAUAAAUUCUCAUAAACAGGCUUUCUAAAGGGAACUUAAUUGUUUUUACACUAAUUAGUGUGUGCUUUCAUGUGUGCACACUGGUGAGGGUGCCACACACCAAUAUGGAGGUCAGAGGACAAGCUGAGAAUGUCUGCUCUGCCCUUCUGAGUUCCCUGGAUGGAACUCAGGCUUGGGCGGAAGUGUCUUUGUAUACCAUGCUGUCUCGUUAGUCUAAGAGGUUUUAUUUUAUUUUGCAUUAGUGCAGGAAUGUUUUGCCUGCGUGUAUGUUUGCUCACCAUUUGUUUGCCUGGUGCCCAUGGAGAUCAGAAGAGGUGUCAGCACCCCUAGAACUGGCAUUAUGGAUGGGUGUGUGCCUUAAAUUCAUUGUGCUGCCCAAGCUAACCUCAAACUUCUGAUCCUGUUGCUUCAACCUCCCAAGAAGCUGGUAUUAUAGGCCUGUGAUAUCAUCCCAGGGCAUCUUGUGUUAGCUGAA